This 254-nucleotide ribosomal RNA is filed under the name uncultured bacterium. RNAcentral describes it as "partial 16S ribosomal RNA". It matches the Rfam family "Bacterial small subunit ribosomal RNA", at positions 524 to 776 of the family's 1533-position model. The record is from RNAcentral.
UACGUAGGGGGCGAGCGUUACCCGGAUUUACUGGGCGUAAAGCGCGUGUAGGCGGCUGGCCAAGCGUGGUGUGAAAUCUUCGGGCUUAACCCGAAAACUGCAUUGCGAACUGGUCUGGCUAGAGUGUGUGAGAGGGUAGUGGAAUUCCCGGUGUAGCGGUGAAAUGCGUAGAUAUUCGCAAGAACACCAGUGGCGAAGGCGGCUCACUGGCCCGGUACUGACGCUGAGGUGCGAAAGCGUGGGGAGCAAACAGG